GUGGGGAAUAUUCCGCAAUGGACGAAAGUCUGACGGAGCAACGCCGCGUGAGUGAUGAAGGUUUUCGGACUGUAAAGCUCUGUUGUUUAGGACGAAAGUGCCUGUUGCAAAUAGUUACAGGUAUUGACGGUACUGAACGAGGAAGCCACGGCUAACUACGUGCCAGCAGCCGCGGUAAUACGUAGGUGGCAAGCGUUGUCCGUAAUUAUUGGGCGUAAAGAGCAUGUAGGCGGUAAUCUAAGUAUGUUGUGAAAAUGCGGGGCUCAACCCCGUAUUGCGAUGGAAACUGGGUUUCUUGAGUGCAGGAGAGGAAAGGGGAAUUCCCAGUGUAGAGGUGAAAUGCGUAGAUAUUGGGAGGAACACCAGUGGCGAAGGCGCCUUUCUGGCCUGUGUCUGACGCUGAGAUGCGAAAGCCAGGGUAGCGAACGGGAUUAGAUACCCGGGUAGUCC
RNAcentral lists this ribosomal RNA (450 nucleotides) under uncultured bacterium. RNAcentral's name for it is "partial 16S ribosomal RNA". It matches the Rfam family "Bacterial small subunit ribosomal RNA", at positions 354 to 796 of the family's 1533-position model. The record is from RNAcentral.